RNAcentral lists this unclassified non-coding RNA (1238 nucleotides) under Hevea brasiliensis (rubber tree). Lineage: Eukaryota; Viridiplantae; Streptophyta; Magnoliopsida; Malpighiales; Euphorbiaceae. The record is from RNAcentral.
CAACAGUAUAUCAAUGUAACAUCUUACAAAAUACUCGUGAUGGUUUGCUGUACAAUUAAUGUACAAAAGCACUACACUGUACAACUGAGGUUAACAUGAAUUACACAGGAAACCAUGUUAAUACUGAACUAUAUAGGAAGCAGUUAGGCAGAUGACUACCACCAAAAGAUGUGUCCUCCGCCCCUAUGGUUCUGUUCUUGGUUUCACUAGCACCACCAAGCACAUGCGUCCUGUACGCCAAACGAAAAGUUUACUAUAUCCUAUAUGCCCAGCCAUGCCUAUCCAAAAACGCCCGUACAGAUUCUUUUAUGGCCAGGUUUGGCACCAACUGGGACGGCAAAAGUGGUUCUCUUGUGAUUGGAUCAAAUUUUCCCACCUUUUGCAAAUGCUCAAGGAUCACAGCCCGCUCAUAUGUAAACCCACUCGGAGUAAUAACAGGGUCACGAAAAAUAUCAAGACUAAUUUUACAACACAAGUAAUCGGGAACCUCAGUUGGAGUAUCAUCUGCUGCAGCUUUCACGAAAACCUUACCUAGAGCUUUCAGUUGCUUAAAAAGCGCCGUUGAUUUUUCAUCUUUGAACCCUUCUGUCUGAGAACUGUCAAGCAUAUGUCUCUCCUUGAGAGCUGACUCACAUGAUUCUUUCAAGUUCUGAAGCUCCCAGGAGCGCCUUGUAGAUUCAUGCUCCCACUCCAUGUACUUUGCUUUAGCAAGCUCUUCCCAGAUCUCUCCAACAAUAUAUCUUCCUGGAUUCACACCUCUUCCAAGGUCUAAUGCCUUUUCCAAUUCUCUCACACCUUCACCAAAUGCUUCCUUUUGUAGCAAUGCAAGACCAAGAUAAUAGUGGGCCUUUACAGAAUUAUGAUCGAGCUGAAUCGCCCUCCUGCAAUCUUCCUCCACUCUUCUCCAGUCAUUCCGCCUCCGAUGACAUAGAGCACGAUUUGUCCAAUAUAUCGGAACAUUAGGGCACAAAGUAAUAGCCUCGGUAUAAGCAUCAAUGGCAGCGCCAAACCGAUUCUUCUGAAAAUAAUUGUUCCCAUCUUGCUUUAGUUGUUCCGCUUGCUUUGAACCCACGAUUGGUGCCAUUACUCCUCUACUUUUUCUUUUCCUCUACGAUCUUGAAACUACCACAAAGUUCUUAGAAUCUGUAUAAUCAAUUGCUACCCUCUUAUACACACGAAAUUUGCUUCAGAAUAAAGGUCGGAAAAUUGAAAAAGUAGCCGGCGGGGAGGGGCGGGAG